Molecule: non-coding RNA, 46 nt
Organism: Schistosoma mansoni
Lineage: Eukaryota; Metazoa; Platyhelminthes; Trematoda; Strigeidida; Schistosomatidae
Source: Rfam
GCACUGCUGAGGAGUCCCAUAAUAGGACGAAACGGCUGUCCAGUAC